RNAcentral lists this long non-coding RNA (1145 nucleotides) under Vulpes vulpes (red fox). Its description in RNAcentral is "lncRNA (ENSVVUG00000015853.1)". The record is from RNAcentral. Lineage: Eukaryota; Metazoa; Chordata; Mammalia; Carnivora; Canidae.
UUUGGCAUGUUCCAAGGCUUCAUUUGUCCAGCUGAAAAGGUCAUUCAGUGGAAUCAAAUCCUAAGUAUAGUCCUAGCUGUGUUCAGGAAGGAGAAAUGUAAUCUGACUGUUCUGUUCUCAGGCACUCAUCUCAUUCUGAACCACAUGUGCCAUGGGAUUGUGGACAAAGUCAAUGUCUUUGGUCUUGUUAAUAGUUGCCCUUGGGCCUCCCAGAAAAACCUUGAAGGCCUGAGUUCACAACUUUGCUGGAGAUUGACAGGUGGAAGAAGAUGUUCAAGUGAUGAACAUGAAGAGAAACAAAUCCCUUUAAGGUGCUAUGGCAAUCGCUCUCCUUGCCUGCCAAGACAAGGCCAAGAAAGGCACGAAGGAGACCCAACCUUGCUAAAACAUGGCAGAAAUGACCCUGGUAGACGCUGUUGGAGAACGCAUUGGUGCAGACCUGCUGAAGGGUUCUGAUCCACUGUCACGAGGCGUUGGUUCCUCUGCACCUAGGACUCUACCUCUUCCUCCCAGGUGGGGUAUGCAUCCAUUCAGGCAUGAAUUUAUUUGUCGCACAGCACUUCUUGAAAUGUAUGGAGGUGUCAGCUUUCAAUGGAAUUUGCUUCUGAGUAGUUCUACGGCCUGGGUUAGCCUCAUGUGCUGCCUUCCAGGAGUAGGAAUCCAGGAACAGCCUGGUCCCCCUGGGCAGGUGGAUGGCUUCACCCUGAUGCUCUACCUCAGUGACAUCUAGUGGCAAGAAGACAUGGCCAUCCACCGCGCUGCCAGCUUCCCACUGUGAGGGACGUGCUGGUGUUAUCUCUUACAGCCAGGGUGAACGCACAUUCAGAUCCGCCUGGGACAGACUGGGCCCAUAUCUAUUGUCCAGGCGUCAUUAUUAAUAGUGUCUGCUUCCACUCUUGAAAGCGUUAACAGAUUGGAUAAUGAAUUACACAGCCUACUUAAUGCCUUAUUGUAGUUCCCCCAUCUAUUAGGUGACUUAACACAUCACUUUGGGGUAAUGAGUUCAAGAAGAUUACUCCCCAUUGUGUAAAGUAAUAUUUAUCUUUAUCUAUCCUGAAAUUAUCCUUCAAGCAUUAUGGGAUUGUUUCCAGCUCUAACGCUAAGGCUGGGUGAACAAGCUCAUUUGAUAGAUUUUAGUCUUACCC